GAACGCUAGCGGCAGGCCUAAUACAUGCAAGUCGAACGGGUUCAAGUAGCAAUACUUGGAUCAGUGGCGCACGGGUGCGUAACGCGUAUGCAACCUACCUUAAACUGGGGGAUAGCCUUCCGAAAGGAAGAUUAAUACCGCAUAAGAUCACGAGAGGGCAUCUGAUUGUGAUUAAAGAUUUAUUGGUUUAAGAUGGGCAUGCGUGCCAUUAGCUAGUUGGUAGGGUAACGGCCUACCAAGGCUACGAUGGCUAGGGGUUCUGAGAGGAUGAUCCCCCACACUGGCACUGAGAUACGGGCCAGACUCCUACGGGAG
This 315-nucleotide ribosomal RNA is filed under the name uncultured bacterium SB6. Its description in RNAcentral is "bacterial SSU rRNA". It matches the Rfam family "Bacterial small subunit ribosomal RNA", at positions 31 to 347 of the family's 1533-position model. The record is from RNAcentral.